This 18-nucleotide small nuclear RNA is filed under the name Arabidopsis thaliana (thale cress). RNAcentral's name for it is "snRNA_04190". The record is from RNAcentral. Lineage: Eukaryota; Viridiplantae; Streptophyta; Magnoliopsida; Brassicales; Brassicaceae.
UAAGCGCGAACUUCGAAA